RNAcentral lists this ribosomal RNA (372 nucleotides) under uncultured organism. Its description in RNAcentral is "bacterial SSU rRNA". It matches the Rfam family "Bacterial small subunit ribosomal RNA", at positions 526 to 896 of the family's 1533-position model. The record is from RNAcentral.
CGUAGGGGGCGAGCGUUGUCCGGAUUUACUGGGCGUAAAGCGCGUGUAGGCGGAAGCCUAAGUCCGAUCUGAAAGCCCCCGGCUCAACCGGGGAUCCGGACCGGAAACUGGGCUUCUUGAGGACGGCAGGGGAGUGUGGAAUUCCUGGUGUAGCGGUGAAAUGCGUAGAGAUCAGGAGGAACACCCAUGGCGAAGGCAGCACUCUGGACCGGACCUGACGCUGAGACGCGAAAGCGUGGGGAGCGAACGGGAUUAGAUACCCCGGAAGUCCACGCCGUAAACGACGGUCACUAGGUGUCUCGGGUAUCGACCCCUGAGGUGCCGCAGUUAACGCAUGAAGUGACCCGCCUGGGGAGUACGGCCGCAGGGUUG